UAGUGUGAAGACAUCGAAGUGAGAGUAUAGGUAUUUAUUGAGAAUGAGAGUACUAAGCGUGACCACCUGGAGCAGUCAUAAGAAAGUCUACCUUCUCGUCGAUGACUAGCUCGAUGCUGCAGUUGUGUGUCUAGUUCUUUGACCUGAGGUGCAUCGAUAAUUCACCUUGAGUGUGUUAUAGUUUGACUACACCAUAACUCGAUCUCCUAGCCAUUCGAAAUUCUGGGGUGUAUGUUGGCUGUAGCAUAUUCAUUGUAGGAACUAGGUUGCAC
Molecule: long non-coding RNA, 272 nt
Filed under: Elaeis guineensis (African oil palm)
Lineage: Eukaryota; Viridiplantae; Streptophyta; Magnoliopsida; Arecales; Arecaceae
Description: long non-coding RNA (EGUI_LNC054569)
Source: RNAcentral